Long non-coding RNA from Gallus gallus (chicken), 4010 nucleotides. The record is from Ensembl. NCBI's taxonomy places the organism in Eukaryota, Metazoa, Chordata, Aves, Galliformes, Phasianidae.
GGCAGAGACAGAUGGUGGAACAGAAGGAAAUAAUGAGACUUCUAUAGUAGAUAUAAGAAAUGUAAUUAGGCUGAUCAUUUGCCCAUGCAUGGUAAAGUUUACUAUGAAUGAAACACUGCAGUGAGUUUUCAUCGAGCUUCUGUAUAGCAGCCCUUUUCUCUCUCCUACUCUAACAAGUGUAAUCCUGCAACACAAAAUUGUGCAAUUCAUGAGUAAUUCAUUGCUCAGUUUCUUAUUCAUCUACGUUUUGCGUAAGGGUCUCGUGGAAAUUAGCCAUCUUCUGAGUCCUUUCACAGCAGAGAGAAAGCGAGUGAGUCACACCCUGGAACGUAAGGGUUCUUACACUGUAAGAUGAUGUGCUAAGAACUGAAGACCGCACAAUUUGGGGGGAUGAAGGCAGAGAUGUGAUUGAAAAAGCAUACUAAUAUAAUGUACAUGUGUGAGAAAGAGCUAAUACUGAAGUGAACAAGUGCAACAGAACUAAGGUUUAUAUUGAAAAGAUAUGGAUUUGAAGAGUGGUUUCAGUGGAUGAGGAAUUGGUUGGAUUAUUUCAGAGGAUUAUGGUCAAAGGCGGAGGCUGGUGGAAAUACAUUUCAAAAAGUUCUGACUUUUUAGUAAAAUUUAUCAAGGAAACCAACCAGCAAAGUCAGGUGCUGAAGGAUUUGGGGAGAAAUAGGAGUGCUGUGCUUUGCCAGAAAGGUCGCAUGCGAUCAGCCUCAGCAUACACUAGAGAGAAGCUCCCCAUGAAGAUCUGCAGAACUUGAAGAGUGAGAACAGGACCCUGCAGUUAUAGAGAGAAGGGCCUCACAGCAAGAAAAGGGAAAGUAGCUUCACAAAGUAGAAAUAAGGGGCAAAUAGAGAUAGUUUAGGUAGAGAGUGUUAGAAAACAAGGGAUUCCAAGCACUUUCACAGACACUAGGUCUGGAAUAACAAGAAGGAUGAAGGCCAUAAAGAUAAGUACUGGAGAGCAGCUCAAAAACAUUUGGCAGGGAGGUGAUUAGAUGUCUACAGGGCAAGCUGAAACCAGUUUGGGGGAUGCCCCCCCCUUCAGGGUCAGAAGUUUGCAGUGAGGAAGACUAUGAGCCUUCGCGAGGAAGACUAUGAGCCUUCAUCAUCACGACCUACUACACAUGCGCAAGGGGGGGAGGGACUGCAUGCUACUGGGCUCUCAGGAAUGUAAUGAACAUGUAUCCAAAUUCCUGUCAACUAUUGAUUAUGUAUUAGUUCGACCUAUAUCUAUAGCACGAUUUCUCCUGACGGUGUGCAAGUUAGGUGGAACGAUCCCCUUUGCACCAGGGUGUACACGCGUCACCAAUAAACACAUACCUGCUCUAUAUCCUCACUGGCUAUAGGGUCUGAUUUCUGCACAUCAAACUACCUCUUUCUUUUUCCACACACAAACCUGCGAAACUUACCUCUGAAGUGCCAAAACUUGUUUCCACUUCCAAACAGACCUCCCUCUGACAUGGGCAGACUGAUACCACCUCUUUUCAUUUUGUCCCUGCAUAUAUCCCUACCCAUUUCAUGUCUCUCUUUACUACUCUGUGCACCAGUGGUGUGAGACAGAGAUUUUUUUGUUCUGUAACUAUAUACUUUGCAGCAUCAAGGAAUCUCGGUCUUGAGUAUGCCUCCAAAGUGUUGCUGUGGUAGAAAUAAUUAUGCAGUGGAAAAAUAGAACUGGAUGAUCUUAUAGCUUUUUCUUUGCCUCAGGCCACGAAGACAAACUGGAAAGAACUAUUCAUUAUUUCUGCUGAGUUAUAUAAUUGCCAAGUCCUUUGCAGAAGGUUGAUAAUCAUGAUAAUUCUCAUUUUAUAUUGGGCAUAGACCAGAAUGUUGUGCUGUGGUUUGGCUGGUUUUGUUCCUUCUAUAUUAAUAAUAAACUAUGUGUGACGAAAACAAAACACCUUCUACUGCACUUUUGAAGAUAGCAAUCUAGUCAUUUCAUUGCUACCUUAAGUUUUACUCUUGACAUACAGAAAAUAUAUCAGUAACCAAAUUUCAUUAGUAGUUUCCCGAAUUCUGAGGAAAGUGCUUUGAAAAGCUUUCCCUGUGAGACUUUAUUGCUAGCAAAAUUAAAAGAUUUUCUUGGUAAAUAUGAAGAAGAUGACUUUCAAAAUUCGGAGUAAAUCCUUCAAGUUUUAAAAAAACAUUACUUUUAUUUUAAAAUACUUUAGAGAUGAAUCUAUAGAAAUAUCUUUGAAACCACAUUAAUUCCAGUAUAAAUUUCAUGUAGCAGUAAUACAGAGCAGACACACCACUCAUUACUUUAAAUCAUUUGCAUUCUGUACAUGCAAAAGCAAAUAAUCCACUUUAUAAUAUGUGACAAAAUCUCAGUUGAUAAGCAAAUGAAAAUGGAAAAUUAUUGAAGUCAAAGGGAAAAAAGAAAAUCCUGAAUUGAACUAACAAAACAAAACAAACAAGAACAACAACAAAACAAAACAAAACAACCACACCUACAGUUUUCCAGGACAAGCAAGAUUUACCAGCUGCCAAACUGUAACACUGGGCAAAAUCCAUGGAUGAGGUUUGCUUUCCUUCCUUCCCCGUAUUUUUUUUUUUUUAACAUCUUUUUUUCAGUAAGAAACAUAAAUCACAGAAUCAAAGAACGGCCCAAGCUGGAAAGUCCACCCAUUGGCUCCACACAGGACCACCCAAAAAUCAGACCAUAUGUCUGAGAGCAUUGUCCAAAUGCUCCUUAACUCUAGCAGUUUGGUACCAUGACCACAGCCCUGGGAAGUAUGUUCCAGUGCCUGACCACCCCCUGGCAAAGAACCUUUUCCUGACAUCCAGCCUCACCCUCCCCAUUGCAGCUCUAUGCCCUUCCCUUGCUCCCUGCCUCUUAUCAAAGAGCAGAGCUCAGUGCUGUCUCUCCGCUCCCUGUGAGAGCUGCAGCCUCCAUGAGGCGUUCCCUCACCUCCUCAGUUCCAAACUGAACAAACCAAUGGACCACACCUGCUCCUCGUUCAGGUUGUCCUCUAGACCCUUCAUCAUCUUUGUAGCUCUAAAUAAAUGAAUAAAAGCUCUUCAAGGGUCAGCCUAUUCUAAGCGAGGAAAAAGUGAAAAAACAAUCAACCAAAUACAUUUUUUUUAAAUUAAUAGAUAUUUCAGUACAGUGUAGGAUACUUAUGGCCUUGCUACCCAUGUCUGUUUCAGUGAGGAACUGGUUAAAGAGUUUAACAUGAGCCACUUCAUUAUAUUGUCAUCUUUUUAAAAAGAUUUUAACCCAAAGGUUAAUUUAAGGACUGGAAUAUAGAAGCUUAUGGUUCCUAUUCAUUUACUCUUAAAGCUGAAAUUCCUGCAAUAUUGAACUUAUGAAUUUUAUUUAUUUGUUCUAAAAAACUCCAAUGCAUGCAAAAAAAUUGAAAGAACCAAUUCCCAUAUUUGGCAUAAAAUCUGGAACUCCAGCCAAGUGUAAGUAAGAGUUUUUCUGAAACUGAGCUUGAUUUCAAUCACAUGUGAGUGAACAGUGCUGUAAGAUGCUCUUACUUCAAGACUGUCCCCGAUUCAUAAGGAAAACAUUUGCAAUUUUAUGGAGAUAUCUCAUAAUUAUCUCUUCCCAAGCCUCAUCAACCCUAGAGGACAAAUCUGUCUCAGCCAAACUAGUACUAAAUGGAAGAUGUUCAUUUAGUCUAACUUAAUCUUUUUUUCCUCCCAAUGUUGGGCAGAAGGACUUCUGUUUCCAUAGUUACAAAGAUAUUUCCUUUGAACUUUUUCCAGGAAACUUUUAUGUCUUCCACAUGCACUGACACAUUACCUUAUGAGGUACGUAUACAUUUGGGAAACUCUUUCUCCUUCACCACCAAUUCCUUGCUGGAUGUAACAGAAGAAAUUUAGUCCAUUGUUAGAAUAAAGUUUGACUUGCUGAUUUAGGAAUUUUAAUAUUUAGUAAUGUAUUACUAUAAAUUGACUGCAAAGUACUACAAGUGAUAGUUUAAAGCACUUUUUUCCCCAAAGUUGUUAUUCAGCAAAGCUGAUUCCUUAUUAUUAGGUAUUUUGAUUCAGUAUAGUUG